Molecule: unclassified non-coding RNA, 4222 nt
Filed under: Daphnia magna
Lineage: Eukaryota; Metazoa; Arthropoda; Branchiopoda; Diplostraca; Daphniidae
Description: down syndrome cell adhesion molecule-like protein Dscam2, transcript variant X4
Source: RNAcentral
CAGAUGAACGUCACGUGAUGUUGGCCAAUGGCGACUUGCAAGUUUUGUCUGCGCAUCAAGGCGACGAGAAUUAUUUGUAUCAUUGUCGAGUUCUCGUCCAGCCCAUCAGGCAAACAAUGACCAGUUUCACUGCUGGACGAAUCAUCCUCAGUCAAGAAUCCAGGACAAAGAUGGCACAAGUCAUUUUAGAAACUGUGAAUCGAAUUCGAAGUUUGGCGUGGACGAGAUGCCGUUUUACCUUGUGUUUUUCACGGAUAUCUUCCGCAUAAAAUCAAAUGGUACAAAAGUCAAACGAUUCAGUAUGGCAAUUUGUUUUUGCCACUGGUGACAUCAGCUGCCACACAAGAGCAUCGUGAUGGAGUGCUGGGACUUGGGCGUCAUCGCCUCAUUGGUGGCACUUUACUCAUCGCUUCCGUCGUCACCGAAGAUCAGGGCAGUUACAUUUGUUUUGUCAACAGUUCCAUUGGAUUAGUCGAAUCACGUACCGAACUCGUUUCUCGUGUCAAAUUACAAGUCAGAAACGUCGAACGUCGUCAUCGCCGCAUAGAAUGCACAGCACAUUUAAGUCGCCGAUCCAGAAACGUCCGUCACCAUCACGUGUCAUUUCUCCGGCCGGUUGUCAGUUGGCUCAAAGAUGGCCAGCGCUUCUUGGUGGGUAAUAGUGGUCGUGUUUCUUCUUCAUCCGGCGACGACGGUUACACCGAUAUGGUCCAGUUAUCCAUUUCGUCCGUCCAACGUGAAGAUGAGGGAAUAUACCAAUGCCUGACAUCCAAUGACGAAGGAGAUUGGGCCCAAGCAUCGGCCCAGCUGGCCAUUGGAGCAUUUCCUCCUCAUUUGAAAGAAACGUUCAGUCGGCAAGUUGUACAUCCGGGAAGUUCAGUCUCGUUGAAAUGUUUGGCCUCUGGCACUCCGCUGCCUCAUUUCACUUGGACGCUGGACGGGUUUCCGUUAUCGCCCGUUUCCGAACGAUAUUUCCUCGGCCAGCAGCAACAAACGGGUCACGACGAUCUUGUAGUGGCUCAUCUCAACAUAACCCACGUCCGAGUCGAAGACGGAGGCAAUUACAAAUGUGUAGCGGAGAAUCGAGUGGGUCGCGUAGAGCAUUCAGCCAAUUUGCAUAUUUACUUCAAUUCAAUGGCAGUUUGACGAUCGAUCCGUUGGAUAAGAGCAGCGACGCCGGUCUUUAUAGUUGCGAGGUGCGUGGCCAGAACGGACUCUCGGCUCGCCAGUCACUUCAACUCAACAUCCUCGCUUUGCGAAAAUAUUGACUCGGCGCCUUUUUCUUUUCCCCCUCCGCCCUGUAAACUUGCUCGGUCGCUGUGUAUACUCUUUGAUGAUGAGAAAGUUAACAGCGCUUUUCUAUCCGGUCUGGAAGCAGAAAAAAAUUUUAAAAAAAAGGAAGCAAUGAAAGCAAAUGAGACAGACCGACUAUAUCGAUCCAGCAGCCAGAAGCCAAUUUAAGUCUUUCCCAUUUAUUUUUGUGAAAAACAAGAAAAAGGAGAUGAGUUAAGUGGGUAGGAAGGAUAAAUUUAGAAAUUUCUCGACGUUUUUUUUUUGUUGUUGCUUCCGGUCGCCGGAAUUCCGUUUAAAAAAAAAAAAAACACGAAAAUAAAACGAUAUUGGAUACAGACGCGCCUCAUAUAAUGGCAAUGAGCGAUUCGGCCGUGUUGAAUUCCGGCGAACGAUUGGCUCUUCAAUGCGCCGUAGUUAAAGGUGGAUUGCCGUUGUCCGUCAGCUGGUCGAAAGAUGGCCAAGUGAUCGCACCGACAACUGCAACAACGACGACUAGCGUCCGUUUGGUGAACGAAUUCACAGCCACGUUGACGAUUGAAUCGUUGACUGGACAACAUGGUGGAUGGCUUUAGAGCAGCAUUAGCCUUUGCUAUAUCUCCACAUCAUGUAAAUGGAAAAUCUCUGGAACUUCUUGUUGAGAAAUGAAGCCAUUGUGCAUAUUGCAUCAACCAAGGGCGAAAUGUUACCACAUAUAGGCCAAUGUUACAACGGACACAUGAAGUCUGUAUGUUGGUACAGUUUAUCAACAGGCAUAAGAGCAUGUUCGGGCAAUAAUUGUGGGAUAGUUUAGGUAGAUUCUUUGCUGCGUCAUAGCUCGGGAGUCGUAACGGGCAAUAUCCUUGUGCAUUAAGUUGGUGAACUCUUGUGUUCCAUUGGGGAAAUAUUUCAAAUUGAUUAAUUUGCAUGUUACGGAGUUGUUUUUUUCUGAUCUGUGGAGCCUGACAUUUUCCACAAUUUCUAUCGGCGGACAAAAUGUCUUUUAGGAUUGGUAGCAGCUUACGAAGCAGUAGGUUCCAACAUCAUCUAACGUCUGCUUUAGUAAUGGCAGGGAUGUGAAUGAUAAUUUGUGAAAUCAAACAACUUCAGCAGGUGCCUAGCUCAACAACUCCUAUGAAAUCUAGAUUGGUGGUGGUAGUUAUAGGGCGCCUGUUCAGGCAACAGUUUCGUUUUUUAAUCCGCCAAGGAUUUAUGCGUUAUUGCGUCUACUGUGUAGCCUGAGUAGCAUACGCAAGGGGGCGUUUAUCUACAUUCCUGAUCACCAAGCAGUUACAAAUAUGUUCUACACUGAUAAGCAUCCGAGGCAAAGGGCGAGCUGAACUAGUCUAUUGCCCCUCAACUCCAGAGGGCACUAGUUUACAGCAACUCGGGCUCACCCUUUGGGUAAUUUGAGAUACUUUUCUGGACGGUUCAGAAUCUUAUUAUUGGCCAAAAUUUGAUACGAGAUUAAUUGAUACUUAGUCCUGUCAGACCUCAAAUUCUAAGAGAGUGGAUUCUCAUUUCUUCUUCAUACCAGCGAGCAGAUUUGAGGUUUAAAAUUGUUUUAGGUUGUUAAGCAAGUCUGACUUUCUACGAUGUACAUGGCCGCCAAACUUUGUCGUUAUGUCUCACUGUUAAUCGGUAAGAAAAACGUCGAAUUAUUGACGAUACGUUUGUCAAAAUGGCAAAUACAACGCCUAACGAUUUAAAUCUAACUUGGGAUAAUCUACUUCUCGGACAAGGUACUUUGAGACCGGAUCUAAUUGAGUCCGCUUUCCAUAUGGCUUCUUCGCGCACGGUUGCCAUGAAGACUCGUCAUAACGAUUCCGAAAUGGUUCGUCAAUUUCGCAUUCACGGCCGUGUAGUAGAACCUAUUAAAGACUUCCUUAAAGAUGAAGUAAGAGCCUUAGGUCGUGAGCUGGGUUCCUGCACAAUUACUGGAACGUUACCCGUUUCCUGGUCCCGGUUUGUCAAUUUGAAUCAUUUACGCCGAAGAGCCGUUCUUGGAAGCUAAUUUCGAUGAGACGCAAGUGCUGAUUCGUUCGAUGGUCUAUUAUGCCAACAUAGCAGCCAAGGAACAUGCCUUGCUCAAUCGGAUUGAAAUCGUGACGUCGGAAGAAGAACGUCUUCUUCUGGAAGAACUGUCUAGUCGCAACCUAUGUUGCCACGCUACUGCCUAUUCGCACUGUCGGUGUUCAGGUACAGGAGGUUGCAGAAAAAUGUGUCGGGUAUGGCAAACAAAGCAUAGGGAAAACCGCCACAUUUUUCUGCAAUAUAUUGUACAACAGAUUCGCAAUUUAGACGUUGUCGUAAUAAUGCCGCGAUCGUAAUCAACUCUUAUUCAAGGUAUUAGAUGAUAGGUGCCACCGUAUCUACGCCAAGGUUUUUUUUUCUCUUGUCUAGAUCUUUUAAUGGCCAGUGGGUCCUUGUGAUCAUGGCCAAUGGCUUGAGCCGGAUACCAACGACUAUGGCACCUGUCGCCCUUCGCCUUGCCCAGUAAGCAAAUGCAACGGUCGCCAGAUCUACUGGAAGUCAACACUAAAUUCUGAAGGUGGCUGUUAUAAAUCGUUCACACGUGGGCCUUGCAGGCGAAGUAGCUAUUUCCUCGUUGAAGAAUAUGGCCCUCGAAGAGGUCGAUGUGUUUCUCAAUUUGGAUCAUCCUAUGAAUCCUAUGUCCUUCCGUCACGCUAUCCCAGGAUGAGAAACCCUUACGACAUGAUGUACAACAACGCGAUGAGCCCGUGAUCGAAAUUUGGCAUGUAUCCGCCGUUUGGCAUGCAGGAAGAAUAGCGGAGACGACUAUCCUGACAUUCCCAGUUUCGAUUACUGAACUAGAAACAGUUUUACAGAACCAUUCACAUGGUUUUGUCUCUAUUAUUUCAUUAAAAAAAUGUGAUUGCAAAUUUUCUAUUGUGACGUAUGGCGGAUAAAAAACAACCUUGAUUAGUUUUAA